GACGAACGCUGGCGGCGUGCCUAAUACAUGCAAGUAGAACGCUGAAGGAGGAGCUUGCUCUUCUGGAUGAGUUGCGAACGGGUGAGUAACGCGUAGGUAACCUGCCUGGUAGCGGGGGAUAACUAUUGGAAACGAUAGCUAAUACCGCAUAAGAGUAGAUGUUGCAUGACAUUUGCUUAAAAGGUGCAAUUGCAUCACUACCAGAUGGACCUGCGUUGUAUUAGCUAGUUGGUGGGGUAACGGCUCACCAAGGCGACGAUACAUAGCCGACCUGAGAGGGGGAGCGGCCACACUGGGACGGAGACACGGCCCAGACUCCUACGGGAGGCAGCAGUAGGGAAUCUUCGGCAAUGGACGGAAGUCUGACCGAGCAACGCCGCGGGAGUGAAGAAGGUUUUCGGAUCGUAAAGCUCUGUUGUAAGAGAAGAACGAGUGUGAGAGUGGAAAGUUCACACUGUGACGGUAUCUUACCAGAAAGGGACGGCUAACUACGUG
RNAcentral lists this ribosomal RNA (495 nucleotides) under uncultured bacterium. RNAcentral's name for it is "partial 16S ribosomal RNA". It matches the Rfam family "Bacterial small subunit ribosomal RNA", at positions 28 to 507 of the family's 1533-position model. The record is from RNAcentral.